This 468-nucleotide ribosomal RNA is filed under the name uncultured bacterium. Its description in RNAcentral is "partial 16S ribosomal RNA". It matches the Rfam family "Bacterial small subunit ribosomal RNA", at positions 28 to 507 of the family's 1533-position model. The record is from RNAcentral.
GACGAACGCUGGCGGCGUGCUUAACACAUGCAAGUCGAACGGAAAGGCCCUGCUUUUGUGGGGUGCUCGAGUGGCGAACGGGUGAGUGACACGUGAGUACCCUGCCCAUGACUUUGGGAUAACUUCAGGAAACUGGGGCUAAUACCGGAUAGGAGCUCCUGCUGAAUGGUGGGGGUUGGAAAGUUUCGGCUGUUGGGGAUGGACUCGCGGCUUAUCAGCUUGUUGGUGGGGUAGUGGCUUACCAAGGCUUUGACGGGUAGCCGGCCUGAGAGGGUGACCGGCCACAUUGGGACUGAGAUACGGCCCAGACUCCUACGGGAGGCAGAAGUGGGGAAUAUUGCACAAUGGGCGGAAGCCUGAUGCAGCAACGCCGCGUGCGGGAUGACGGCCUGCGUGUUGUAAACCGCUUUCGCCUGUGACGAAGCGUGAGUGACGGUAAUGGGUAAAGAAGCACCGGCUAACUACGUG